GAAGCUCAAUUCAAACUUCCUAAGGCAACUGUGAUGUCUGACUUGUAGACAGAUGAGGACGAUGAUGGCCCGUCAUACACCAAAAGAAAGAACAGUGACUGUGAUGAUGAAAAUUUAUUUGGAAAAAGGAGACUGGAAAAGAAAGGCAGAAUAAAGGAUCUUUCAGAAAUUGAUGCAGCACCUCAAGUACCAUCACCACCAAUGACUAUGGCAGGAACUAGGAACAUUUCCAGUCCUUGUUCCAGUGCAGUUGGAGAUCAAGACAGAACUUAUUGCAACUCGUCAUGUCUUUCAUUACUCACUGAACUUAUAAAAUCACAAGAGGUCAUAAAGCAGCAACUGGACCUGAUUCUCAAAAAUCAGCAAAAACAAAGCAGUACUCUGCAGCGGGAGGAAACUCCAGAUGCAAGCACAUUUGACCUUCCUUUGUCCAAUUUAUUUGAUUUAGAAAAGCUUGAACAUCAACUAGGAGCAGCCCGAACAAAGGAAGAAAUUGGUAGCCUACUUUGGAAUUAUUGGUGGGUUUUCCACUAAAGAAGCAGUGUGGCGUAUCCUAGGAAAGCUUUUGGUCAACUCCUUGGCUAAACAAAUGAACUGGAGUGGGGCAAACCAAAAAGUGGCUUUUCGUGCACUCACCCUAAGGACUGUCGUAGUCAAUGCAGUGAGGACAAAUGCCCAUACCAACAGCGCUACUGAUGAAGAGGUGGAGAAAUGCAUUACAACUUGCUCCUGAUAGAGAUGGAGGAAGGAAAAAAAGAGAGCAAGACAAUGUGUCAAAUGUCUAAAUCACUUUAAUUUUUUAUAUAUUUAAUUUUAAAACAACAUUUGAAGUGUAUUAAGAU
This 842-nucleotide long non-coding RNA is filed under the name Danio rerio (zebrafish). RNAcentral describes it as "lncRNA si:dkey-265a11.3 (ENSDARG00000097933.2)". Lineage: Eukaryota; Metazoa; Chordata; Actinopteri; Cypriniformes; Danionidae. The record is from RNAcentral.